UACGUAGGGGUCGAGCGUUGUCCGGAGUUACUGGGCGUAAAGCGCAUGCAGGCGGCUCAUUACGCAUGGCGUGAAAGCCCCCGGCUUAACCGGGGAGGGUCGUCGUGAACGGGUGAGCUUGAGGGUAUCAGGGGCUGGUGGAAUUCCCGGUGUAGUGGUGAAAUGCGUAGAGAUCGGGGGAACACCUGUGGCGAAGGCGGCCAGCUGGGAUACACCUGACGCUGAGAUGCGAAGGCGUGGGGAGCGAACGGG
Molecule: ribosomal RNA, 252 nt
Filed under: uncultured bacterium
Lineage: Bacteria
Description: partial 16S ribosomal RNA
Rfam family: Bacterial small subunit ribosomal RNA
Source: RNAcentral